This is a non-coding RNA of Caenorhabditis elegans, 155 nucleotides long. NCBI's taxonomy places the organism in Eukaryota, Metazoa, Nematoda, Chromadorea, Rhabditida, Rhabditidae. The record is from Ensembl.
GAUGCCCAUUCGGAUAUGCGGCUUCGUUUUAUGGUAGACAAGAAAUUUAAAAACAAAUAAUGUCUCUGCCGAGGUGACAGGGUCGGAUGUCAAAUCGAAAAUAGAGAAAUGCACAAUGGCGGAUACAAAUACCGGAUGAGUUUCGGACCGGCGCG